GAUGAACGCUAGCUACAGGCUUAACACAUGCAAGUCGAGGGGUAACGAGAGGAAAGCUUGCUUUCCUUGUCGACGACCGGCGCACGGGUGAGUAACGCGUAUCCAACCUGCCCCCAACUAGGGAAUAACCUUGCGAAAGUAAGACUAAUACCCUAUAAUUUCCUCAGAUGACAUCUGACGAGGAAUAAAGAUUUAUCGGUUGUGGAUGGGGAUGCGUGUGAUUAGCUUGUUGGCGGGGUAACGGCCCACCAAGGCAACGAUCAGUAGGGGUUCUGAGAGGAAGGUCCCCCACAUUGGAACUGAGACACGGUCCAAAAUCCUACGGGAGGCAGCAGUGAGGAAUAUUGGUCAAUGGGCGGAAGCCUGAACCAGCCAAGUAGCGUGCAGGAUGACGGCCCUAUGGGUUGUAAACUGCUUUUAUACAGGAAUAAAGUUAGCCACGUGUGGUUAUUUGUAGGUACUGUAUGAAUAAGGACCGGCUAAUUCCGUGCCAGCCGCCGCCGUAA
This 506-nucleotide ribosomal RNA is filed under the name uncultured bacterium. RNAcentral describes it as "partial 16S ribosomal RNA". It matches the Rfam family "Bacterial small subunit ribosomal RNA", at positions 28 to 523 of the family's 1533-position model. The record is from RNAcentral.